Molecule: unclassified non-coding RNA, 297 nt
Organism: Callithrix jacchus (white-tufted-ear marmoset)
Lineage: Eukaryota; Metazoa; Chordata; Mammalia; Primates; Cebidae
Rfam family: Metazoan signal recognition particle RNA
About the family: The signal recognition particle (SRP) is a universally conserved ribonucleoprotein.
Source: Ensembl
ACUGAGUGCAGUGGCACGUACCUACAGUCCCAGCUACUCAGGAAGCUGAGCUGGGAGGACUGCUUGAGUCCAGGAGUUCUGGGCUGUAGUGAGCUAUGCCAAUUGGGUAUCCGCACUAAGUUCAGCAUCAAUAUAGUGACCUCUCAGGAGCCAGGGACCACCAGGUUGCCUAAGGAGGGAUGAACCGCUCCAGGUCGGAAACGGAGGUCAAAACUCCCAUGCUGAUCCGUAGUGGGAUCAUGCCUGUGAAAAGCCACUGCCCUCCAGCCUGGGCAACAUAGCGAGAUCCCAUCUCUU